Molecule: ribosomal RNA, 768 nt
Filed under: Sphodros sp. BEH-2006
Lineage: Eukaryota; Metazoa; Arthropoda; Arachnida; Araneae; Atypidae
Description: eukaryotic LSU rRNA
Rfam family: Eukaryotic large subunit ribosomal RNA (bases 425-768)
Source: RNAcentral
CUCGAAAUCCUCCUGCCGGGGGAUUCAGUCACGACGUUUCGAGGUGCUCGUCGGAUUGUUAUCGGACCUCGUAUAAAGGCCGAUCCGACGGCACGUGUCUCGAUUCGACGUGACGCAUUUCCCCCGGCACUACGGACGCCGCAGCCGGUCGGGUAGCUGCGCGUGUCGGCCUUGAGGACGGACGCCGGAAGGUGGCCGGCGGGACUCUCUGUAAAAAGGGAGGCCUGCCGGUUGUUAGCCUGUCCGUCCGUGGCGCGACACCCGACCGAGGAGUUCUUCGGUUCCUCUCUCCGGAGGGGACCGAUAUAGAGAGAGAGCCUUCCCUCCCUUCUCGUAAGGCUGAGCGAGUCGGCCGACAGGUGUCAGUGCGCGUGGGUCGUCGCAGUCUCCGCACUGGGCGAUCCGCACUGCGCCGCUGUUGGUUCGGACCGGCUUCGCGGGGGACUAGAGAAGGCUGGCGGCGAGUAGGUCGGUCACCCACCCGACCCGUCUUGAAACACGGACCAAGGAGUCUAACAUGUGCGCGAGUCAUGGGGUCUUGUUCAGGCCCAAAGGCGCAAUGAAAGUGAAAGCCGGCCUUGGCCGGCCCCAGUUUGGGAUCCUCUCCUCUUGGAAAUGUCGGAGGGAGGCGCACCAACGACCCGCCCUGUGCUAUUAUUUCGUAGCGUGGGACGGAGUAUGAGCGCACACGUUGGGACCCGAAAGAUGGUGAACUAUGCUUGAGCAGGACGAAGCCAGAGGAAACUCUGGUGGAGGUCCGCAGCGGUU